AGAUGGUGGCGGUCUGGGGUCACACGGCGAUCGACGUCGCUCUCGGACAAGCUGUCCUGUUGGGAAGAGCCAUGCAUGUCAGGUGACUGUUGCAACUGUCAGACAUGUUUCAGAAAGGAAUGACUGUGUAGCACUGCUAUGUUGUUUCACCUGAGUGGACGGACGCUGGCAGUCUUGGGUCAAGGAGGUGAUCGACGUCGCUCUUGGAUGAGCUGUCCUGUGGGGAAGAGCCAUGCAUGUCAGGUCAUGAUGAAAAUGGAGGGCUCACAUUAAUGAGGCUCACUGUUAUGGCUGACCUGCCAUGCCGGGCCAUCUGGCCAACAUGUGGUUGGUCAGAUUUGUGUUGCGGAGCCAGUGCCACGAGGGCCAAGAGAUCACUAGCUCUGGCUAGAGAGGGGAUGAAGAUGCUCAUUCAAACGGGCGCCAGACAAUUACCUAACACACCUCCAGGCUGUGUAAGGGCUAUUUGACCAAGAAGGAGAGUGAUGGAGUGCUGCAUCAGAUGACCUGGCCGCCACGAUCACAUGAUCUCAACCCAGUUGAGAUGGUUUGGGAUGAGUUGGACUGCAGAGUGAAGGAAAAGCAACCAACAAGUGCUCAGCAUAUGUGGGAACUCCUUCAAGACUGUUGGAAAAGCAUUCCAGGUGAAGCUGGUUGAGAGAAUGCCAAGAGCAUACAAACCUGUCAUCAAGGCAAAGGGUGGCUACUUUGAACAAUCUGAAAUAUAAAAUAUAUAAAUCACAUUUUUAACACAUUUUUUGUUACUACAUGAUCCAAUAUGUGUUAUUUCAUAGUUUUGAUGGCUUCGCUAUUAUUCUACAAUGUAAAAAUGUUUUAAAAUAAAGAAAAACCCUUGAAUGAGUAGGUGUGUCCAAACUUUUGACCGUUACUGUACAGUGAGGGAAAAAAGUAUUUGAUCCCCCUGCUGAUUUUGUACGUUUGCCCACUGACAAAGAAAUGAUCAGUCUACAGGUUUGCACACAUCUCAGGAGGGAUUUUGUCCCACUCCUCUUUGCAGAUCUUCUCCAAGUCAUUAAGGUUUCGAGGCUGACGUUUGGCAACUCAAACUUUCAGCUCCAUCCACAAAUCUUCUAUGGGAUUAAGGUCUGGAGACUGGCUAGGCCACUCCAGGACCUUAAUGUGCUUCUUCUUGAGCCACUCCUUUGUUGCCUUGGCCGUGUGUUUUGGGUCAUUGUCAUGCUGGAAUACCCAUCCACGACCCAUUUUCAAUGCCCUGGCUGAGGGAAGGAGGUUCUCACCCAAGAUUUGACGGUACAUGGCCCAGUCCAUCGUCCCUUUGAUGCGGUGAAGUUGUCCUGUCCCCUUAGCAGAAAAACACCCCCAAAGCAUAAUGUUUCCACCUCCAUGUUUGACGGUGGGGAUGGUGUUCUUGUGGUCAUAGGAAGCAUUCCUCCUCCUCCUCCAAACACGGCGAGUUGAGUUGAUGCCAAAGAGCUCCAUUUUGGUCUCAUCUGACCACAACACUUUCACCCAGUUGUCCUCUGAAUCAUUCAGAUGUUCAUUGGCAAACUUCAGACGGGCAUGUAUAUGUGCUUUCUUGAGCAGGGGGACCUUGCAGGCGCUGCAGGAUUUCAGUCCUUCACGGUGUAGUGUGUUACCAAUUGUUUUCUUGGUGACUGGUCCCAGCUGCCUUGAGAUCAUUGACAAGAUCCUCCCGUGUAGUUCUGGGCUGAUUCCUCACCGUUCUCAUGAUCAUUGCAACUCCACGAGGUGAGAUCUUGCAUGGAGCCCAAGGCCGAGGGAGAUUGACAGUUCUUUUGUGUUUCUUCCAUUUGUGAAUAAUCGCACCAAGCUGCUUGGCGAUGGUCUUGUAGCCCAUUCCAGCCUUGUGUAGGUCUACAAUCUUGCCCCUGACAUCCUUGGAGAGCCGUUUGGUCUUGGCCAUGGUGGAGAGUUUGGAAUCUGAUUGAUUGAUUGCUUCUGUGGACAGGUGUCUUUUAUACAGGUAACAAACUGAGAUUAGGAGCACUCCCUUUAAGAGUGUGCUCUAAUCUCAGCUCGUUACCUGUAUAAAAGACACCUGGGAGCCAGAAAUCUUUCUGAUUGAGAGGGGGUCAAAUACUUAUUUCCCUCAUUAAAAUGCAAAUCAAUUUCUAACAUUUUUGACAUGCGUUUUUCUGGAUUUUUUGUUGUUGUUAUUCUGUCUCUCACUGUUCAAAUAAACCUACCAUUAAA
Molecule: long non-coding RNA, 2196 nt
Filed under: Salmo salar (Atlantic salmon)
Lineage: Eukaryota; Metazoa; Chordata; Actinopteri; Salmoniformes; Salmonidae
Description: lncRNA (ENSSSAG00000115818.1)
Source: RNAcentral